GUCCUCGUAGUGUAAUGGAUAGCAAAUAUGACUUCGAAUCAUUUAAUAUGGGUUCGAUUCCCAUCGGGGAUA
Tritrichomonas musculus is the source of this 72-nucleotide non-coding RNA. The record is from the annotation of a GenBank genome assembly. NCBI's taxonomy places the organism in Eukaryota, Parabasalia, Tritrichomonadida, Tritrichomonadidae.